CAAUGAUAUACAAAAAAUCCCUUAAAAUCUUCAAAUAUUGUAAGCACGUUUCAGCAGGGCUUUCUUAACCUCUAAAUAUCCCCUUUCUAGAUUUGUAAAGCUCUGCGAAAUAUGUUCAAAGCUGUGUUUUGAAGCAUAUUUUGUUACUGGUUAUACCACAGGCAAGAGCUAGAUAUCCUUUGUUUAAAAACAGUGAUUUCCACCUGCCUACACCCAACCAGAAGUCUUCUACUCUUUUGUGGCUUAUUACAGCUAUCAAAAUAUCCACUAAACUGGUGUUGGGAUAGGUGUUCAUGAGGCCACAAACUGAACUUUAUAUGGCCUAUUCACAUGUGCUGAACAGUAGCUGAAUGGCACUUAGUUGUCCAAAUUUAGGUGUUUCAACUAAAG
This is a non-coding RNA of Pelobates cultripes (western spadefoot toad), 390 nucleotides long. The record is from the annotation of a GenBank genome assembly. NCBI's taxonomy places the organism in Eukaryota, Metazoa, Chordata, Amphibia, Anura, Pelobatidae.